AACGCACGCUAGUGGGCAGCAGCACAUGAGAAAUCAAAGUCUUUGGGUUCCGGGGGGAGUAUGGUCGCAAGGCUGAAACUUAAAGGAAUUGACGGAAGGGCACCACCAGGAGUGGAGCCUGCGGCUUAAUUUGACUCAACACGGGAAAACUUACCAGGUCCAGACAUAGGUAGGAUUGACAGAUUGAGAG
RNAcentral lists this ribosomal RNA (190 nucleotides) under Thraustochytriidae sp. Its description in RNAcentral is "Thraustochytriaceae sp. partial small subunit ribosomal RNA". It matches the Rfam family "Eukaryotic small subunit ribosomal RNA", at positions 1065 to 1254 of the family's 1831-position model. Lineage: Eukaryota; Bigyra; Thraustochytrida; Thraustochytriidae. The record is from RNAcentral.